GUCUACGGCCAUACCACCCUGAACGCGCCCGAUCUCGUCUGAUCUCGGAAGCUAAGCAGGGUCGGGCCUGGUUAGUACUUGGAUGGGAGAAUAUCUGGUCCCCAGUUC
Molecule: ribosomal RNA, 108 nt
Filed under: Neogale vison (American mink)
Lineage: Eukaryota; Metazoa; Chordata; Mammalia; Carnivora; Mustelidae
Source: RNAcentral